GUUAAAAGUUCCUGAAGUUUUGGAAGGAAGGGAUUCUGUCGAAUGCUGGCGAUUGGAACUCUCGGACUCAAAUUGAUCACAUCAAAUAUCACGCUUUUCAGGAUCACUGCUUCCUAAAGGUUGGUACAGAGGUCUUCACAAAACUUUGUUUGAAAUGAACCUCAGUAUGGUUACAACCUGCUACAAAGUAACACUGAUGUAUAUACAGUAACAAAGGACACAAAAUCCUACAGCUUCAUCACAACAAGCCCUGAGGUUUGGUUUUGUAAAGAAUUAUCCUCUAUUUUGGAAAUGUUGGCCGUUGUAUACUGUUGUUGUUAUGGAACUUUCGGCGGUAAAAUCCGCCAUUUUGAAAAUGGGUCAAGCUCUGUCAAAGCACCCUGAGUAUUUCCUAUUCAGUGCAGGGAGUGUGGCAGUGGUUUAGUCGCCUGUCUUACCUUCUUUUCCAACGGAACUCUCUCAAGGUUAAAAACCAAUUAUUUCUUCAUGUAUUUCGUUGGUCAAUGAAUAAACUUUUAUUAGCUUUUGUGAUGUUACAUACAUUGUAAAAAAAC
Long non-coding RNA from Stylophora pistillata, 554 nucleotides. The record is from RefSeq and is a predicted model, not a curated record. NCBI's taxonomy places the organism in Eukaryota, Metazoa, Cnidaria, Anthozoa, Scleractinia, Pocilloporidae.